GAUGAACGCUGGCGGCGUGCCUAAUACAUGCAAGUCGAGCGAAUGGAUUAAGAGCUUGCUCUUAUGAAGUUAGCGGCGGACGGGUGAGUAACACGUGGGUAACCUGCCCAUAAGACUGGGAUAACUCCGGGAAACCGGGGCUAAUACCGGAUAACAUUUUGAACCGCAUGGUUAGAAAUUGAAAGGCAGCUUCGGCUGUCACUUAUGGAUGGACCCGCGUCGCAUUCGCUAGUUGGUGAGGUAACGGCUCACCCAGGCAACGAUGCGUAGCCGACCUGAGAGGGUGAUCGGCCACACUGGGACUGAGACACGGCCCAGACUCCUACGGGAGGCAGCAGUAGGGAAUCUGCCGCAAUGGACGAAAGUCUGACGGAGCAACGCCGCGUGAGUGAUGAAGGCUUUCGGGUCGUAAAACUCUGUUGUUAGGGAAGAACAAGUGCUAGUUGAAUAAGCUGACACCUUGACGGUACCUAACCAGAAAGCCACGGCUAACUACGUGCCAGCCGCCGCAGUAA
Molecule: ribosomal RNA, 515 nt
Filed under: uncultured bacterium
Lineage: Bacteria
Description: partial 16S ribosomal RNA
Rfam family: Bacterial small subunit ribosomal RNA
Source: RNAcentral